Molecule: transfer RNA, 75 nt
Filed under: Ignavibacteriota bacterium
Lineage: Bacteria; Pseudomonadati; Ignavibacteriota
Also listed under: 3 other names
Description: Ignavibacteriae bacterium tRNA-Arg
Rfam family: tRNA
About the family: Transfer RNA (tRNA) molecules are approximately 80 nucleotides in length.
Source: RNAcentral
GCCCUCGUGGUGUAAUGGAUAGCACAAUAGAUUUCGGCUCUAUUAGUCAGGGUUCGAGUCCUUGCGAGGGUACUA